AGGUAAGCUACUAAGAGCGAAUGGUGGAUGCCUUGACUGGUAAAGGCGAUGAAGGACGUACUAGACUGCGAUAAGCUACGGGGAGCUGUCAAGAAGCUUUGAUCCGUAGAUUUCCGAAUGGGGCAACCCAAUGUAUAGAGAUAUACAUUACCUAUAUAGGAGCGAACGAGGGGAAUUGAAACAUCUUAGUACCCUCAGGAAAAGAAAUCAAUAGAGAUUGCGUCAGUAGCGGCGAGCGAAAGCGCAAGAGGGCAAACCCAGUGCUUGCACUGGGGGUUGUAGGACUGCAAUGUGCAAGAGCUGAGUUUAGCAGAACAUUCUGGAAAGUAUAGCCAUAGAGGGUGAUAGUCCCGUAUGCGAAAAACAAAGCUUAGCUAGCAGUAUCCUGAGUAGGGCGGGACACGAGAAAUCCUGUCUGAAUCCGGGUCGACCACGAUCCAACCCUAAAUACUAAUACCAGAUCGAUAGUGCACAAGUACCGUGAGGGAAAGGUGAAAAGAACUGAGGUGAUCAGAGUGAAAUAGAACCUGAAACCAUUUGCUUACAAUCAUUCAGAGCACUAUGUAGCAAUACAGUGUGAUGGACUGCCUUUUGCAUAAUGAGCCUGCGAGUUGUGGUGUCUGGCAAGGUUAAGCAAACGCGAAGCCGUAGCGAAAGCGAGUCUGAAUAGGGCGCUUAGUCAGAUGCUGCAGACCCGAAACGAAGUGAUCUAUCCAUGAGCAAGUUGAAGCUAGUGUAAGAACUAGUGGAGGACUGAACCCAUAGGCGUUGAAAAGCCCCGGGAUGACUUGUGGAUAGGGGUGAAAGGCCAAUCAAACUUCGUGAUAGCUGGUUCUCUCCGAAAUAUAUUUAGGUAUAGCGUUGUGUCGUAAUAUAAGGGGGUAGAGCACUGAAUGGGCUAGGGCAUACACCAAUGUACCAAACCCUAUCAAACUCCGAAUACCUUAUAUGUAAUCACAGCAGUCAGGCGGCGAGUGAUAAAAUCCGUCGUCAAGAGGGAAACAACCCAGACUACCAGCUAAGGUCCCUAAAUCUUACUUAAGUGGAAAACGAUGUGAAGUUACUUAAACAACCAGGAGGUUGGCUUAGAAGCAGCCAUCCUUUAAAGAAAGCGUAAUAGCUCACUGGUCUAGUGAUUUUGCGCGGAAAAUAUAACGGGGCUAAAGUAAGUACCGAAGCUGUAGACUUGCACACAACUUAGAUUAUUUAAGUUUAGAAUAUGAGAAACUAAGUUAUAUGUUUAGUUAUAUUUUUACUGAUUUUUAUAGAGUAAAGAUAGAAAUAAAACUUAGUAAAAUCAGUAAAAAUAUUCUUAGGCUAAAGUUAAGUAGUUUAAGUUGUGUGCAAGUGGUAGGAGAGCGUUCUAUUUGCGUCGAAGGUAUACCGGUAAGGAGUGCUGGAGCGAAUAGAAGUGAGCAUGCAGGCAUGAGUAGCGAUAAUUAAUGUGAGAAUCAUUAACGCCGUAAACCCAAGGUUUCCUACGCGAUGCUCGUCAUCGUAGGGUUAGUCGGGUCCUAAGUCGAGUCCGAAAGGGGUAGACGAUGGCAAAUUGGUUAAUAUUCCAAUACCAACAUUAGUGUGCGAUGGAAGGACGCUUAGGGCUAAGGGGGCUAGCGGAUGGAAGUGCUAGUCUAAGGUUGUAGGAGGUUAUACAGGCAAAUCCGUAUAACAAUACUCCGAGAACUGAAAGGCUUUUUGAAGUCUUCGGAUGGAUAGAAGAACCCCUGAUGCCGUCGAGCCAAGAAAAGUUUCUAAGUUUAGCUAAUGUUGCCCGUACCGUAAACCGACACAGGUGGGUGGGAUGAGUAUUCUAAGGCGCGUGGAAGAACUCUCUUUAAGGAACUCUGCAAAAUAGCACCGUAUCUUCGGUAUAAGGUGUGGUUAGCUUCGUACUAGGAUUUACUCCGAAAGCGAAGAAACUUACAACAAAGAGUCCCUCCCGACUGUUUACCAAAAACACAGCACUCUGCUAACUCGUAAGAGGAUGUAUAGGGUGUGACGCCUGCCCGGUGCUCGAAGGUUAAUUGAUGGGGUUAGCAUUAGCGAAGCUCUUGAUCGAAGCCCGAGUAAACGGCGGCCGUAACUAUAACGGUCCUAAGGUAGCGAAAUUCCUUGUCGGUUAAAUACCGACCUGCAUGAAUGGCGUAACGAGAUGGGAGCUGUCUCAAAGAGGGAUCCAGUGAAAUUGUAGUGGAGGUGAAAAUUCCUCCUACCCGCGGCAAGACGGAAAGACCCCGUGGACCUUUACUACAGCUUGACACUGCUACUUGGAUAAGAAUGUGCAGGAUAGGUGGGAGGCUUUGAGUAUAUGACGCCAGUUGUAUAUGAGCCAUUGUUGAGAUACCACUCUUUCUUAUUUGGGUAGCUAACCAGCUUGAGUUAUCCUCAAGUGGGACAAUGUCUGGUGGGUAGUUUGACUGGGGCGGUCGCCUCCCAAAUAAUAACGGAGGCUUACAAAGGUUGGCUCAGAACGGUUGGAAAUCGUUCGUAGAGUAUAAAGGUAUAAGCCAGCUUAACUGCAAGACAUACAAGUCAAGCAGAGACGAAAGUCGGUCUUAGUGAUCCGGUGGUUCUGUGUGGAAGGGCCAUCGCUCAAAGGAUAAAAGGUACCCCGGGGAUAACAGGCUGAUCUCCCCCAAGAGCUCACAUCGACGGGGAGGUUUGGCACC
Molecule: ribosomal RNA, 2669 nt
Filed under: Campylobacter jejuni
Lineage: Bacteria; Pseudomonadati; Campylobacterota; Epsilonproteobacteria; Campylobacterales; Campylobacteraceae
Description: partial 23S ribosomal RNA
Rfam family: Bacterial large subunit ribosomal RNA
Source: RNAcentral